This 44-nucleotide non-coding RNA is filed under the name Stephanopyxis turris. Lineage: Eukaryota; Bacillariophyta; Melosirophyceae; Stephanopyxales; Stephanopyxidaceae. The record is from RNAcentral.
UCGGCAAGCCUGUGACCCCCAUCCAGAAGCCCCUGGUGGACUCU